GACGAACGCUGGCGGCGUGCCUAAUACAUGCAAGUAGAACGCUGAAGAGAGGAGCUUGCUCUUCUUGGAUGAGUUGCGAACGGGUGAGUAACGCGUAGGUAACCUGCCUUGUAGCGGGGGAUAACUAUUGGAAACGAUAGCUAAUACCGCAUAACAAUGGAUGACACAUGUUAUUUAUUUGAAAGGGGCAAUUGCUCCACUACAAGAUGGAUCUGCGUUGUAUUAGCUAGUAGGUGAGGUAACGGCUCACCUAGGCGACGAUACAUAGCCGAGCUGGGAGGGUGAUCGGCCACACUGGGACUUGGACACGGCCCAAGCUCCUUCGGGGAGGAGCAGUAGGGGAACUUCGGCAAUGGGGGCAACGCUGACCGAACAACGCCGCGUGAGUGGAGGAGGUUUUCCGAUCGUAAAGCUCUGUUGUGAGUCAAGGACGAGUAUUAGAGUAGAAAGUUCACACUGUGACGGUAGCUUAACAGAAAGGGACGGCUAACUACGUG
This 497-nucleotide ribosomal RNA is filed under the name uncultured bacterium. Its description in RNAcentral is "partial 16S ribosomal RNA". It matches the Rfam family "Bacterial small subunit ribosomal RNA", at positions 28 to 507 of the family's 1533-position model. The record is from RNAcentral.